Molecule: ribosomal RNA, 2279 nt
Filed under: fermentation metagenome
Description: bacterial LSU rRNA
Rfam family: Bacterial large subunit ribosomal RNA
Source: RNAcentral
AAAAACACGUAAGGGCGUAUGGCGGAUGCCUUGACACAAGAAAACGAUGAAGGACGUAGUAUAGCUGCGAUAAGCUUCGGGGAACCGCUAAACAGGUUGUGAUCCGAAGAUGUCCGAAUGGGGAAACCCGCAUGAAUUAAUCUUCAUGCAUCCAUGCCCGAAUAUAUACGGCAUGAGAAGGAGACCAGGCGAAGUGAAACAUCUCAGUAGCCUGAGGAAAAGAAAGAAAUACGCGUGUGUUGCUAUUUUGUCGAUAGAAAUAUUUGCGAAUUAGCAGCAUAACUCGAUUCCCCCAGUAGUGGCGAGCGAAAAGGGAAGAGCCCAAACCUGGUAAUUUAUUUUGCCGGGGGUUGUAAGACAGCGACAUGGAGCAAUCCGAGAAGCUAACAACUUAUAUCUUGGUUAAUCGAACAGGCUGGAAAGCUUGGCCGAAGAGGGUGAAAGCCCCGUAGGUAAAAACUGAUAUAGGCUUUUUGUCACUGAUCUUGAGUAGCAUAAGACCAGAGAAAUCUUAUGUGAAGCAGGCAGUCCUACUAAAACGGCUUCGGCCGUCUGCCAAGGCUAAAUAUUUCUUGUGAUCGAUAGUGAACUAGUACCGUGAGGGAAAGGUGAAAAGUAUCCCGAAAGGGAAGUGAAAUAGACCUGAAACCAUACGCUUACAAAGAGUGGGAGCCUGCCUUCGGGCGGGUGACCGCGUGCUUUUUGUAGAACGAGCCAGCGAGUCUACUGUAUGUUGCAAAGUUAAGUCCGACAGGACGGAGCUGAAGUGAAAGCGAGGAUUAAUAGUCCGUCAAGUAGCAUACAUAGUACACGAAACCAGGUGAGCUUACCAUGGUCAGGGUGAAGCUGUGAGAAUAUCGCAGUGGAGGCCCGCACACACCAGCCGUGUAAUACUGGGUGAUGAACUGUGGUAAGGGGUGAAAUUCCAAUCGAACUUGGUGAUAGCUUGUUCUUCCCGAAAUAGCUAUUGGGCUAGCGCCGCAUUUACCUGCUAGAGGUAGAGCACUGUCAGGAGCUGGGGGGGAAACCUACCCUCUCCUAGCAAACUUCGAAUACUAGCCAGUCAAAUGUGCGGCAGUCAGUACUGCGGUGAUAAGAUCGUGGCACAAAAGGGAAACAGCCCAGAUCGUAGUCUAAGGUCCCUAAAUCCAUAUUAAGUGGUAAAGGAGGUAAUUUUCCUAUGACAGGUAGGAGGUUGGCUUAGAAGUAGCCAUCCUUUAAAGAUAGUGUAACAACUCACUUCUCGAUUAUGGAAAGUUGCACCGAAAAUUCAACGGGGCUAAAAUAUGGUACCGAAGACACGGGUUCUAGCGCAAGCUAGAGCGGUAGGGAAGCGUUCUAUGCGCGCUGAAGCUGUACUCGCGAGAGACGGUGGAGCGCAUAGAAGUGAGAAUGCUGGCAUGAGUAAUAAAAAAUUACGUGAGAUUCGUAAUCACCGAAAAUCCAAGGUUUCCUGGGCAACGGAUGUCGCCCCAAGACGAGGCCGAAAGGCGUAGCCGAUGGACAGCUGGUUAAUAUUCCAGCACUACCUUUUUCGCAUAGAUAAGGGAGGACGGAACAUGGUAAUCUGAGCGCAUUAUUGGAUUUGCGUUAAUGGCUUGUAGGCUUGCUUUCCAGGCAAAUCCGGAAAGCUCCAAGGUCGAGAGCCGUUUAGACUUUCCCCCUCAGGGGAGAUAAUUCAGAUGAGCCAAGUUUCCAAGAAAAAUCUCUAUUCUUAGUAAAAGGUAUCCGUACCAAAACCAACACAGGUGGAUAGGUCGAGCAGACCAAGGUGAACGGGAGAACCCUCGUUAAGGAAUUCGGCAAAACAGCGGCCGUAACUUCGGGAUAAGGCCUCCCGGUUCCGGUUUUCCGGGACCGGGCGCAGUUAAAGACUCAGAGCGACUGUUUAACAAAAACACAGGUCUCUGCUAACUCGCAAGAGGACGUAUAGGGGCUGACGCCUGUCCAGUGCCAGAACGUUAAGGUUUGGGGUGAGAGCUCUGAACUUAAGCGCUGGUGAACGACAGCAAUAACUAUAAUUGUUCUAAGGUAGCGAAAUUCCAUGUCAUCUAAUUAGUGACGCGCAUGAAAGGCGUAACGACUUUGAGACUGUCUCAACGAGGGACCCGGUGAAAUUGCAAUAUCGGUAAAGACGCCGAUUACCUGCAGCAGGACGAAAAGACCCCAUGAAGCUUUACUAUAGCUUGAUAUUGGGUUGCGAGUUUGGAUGUUCAGUAUAGGUGGGAGGCUAUGAGGCCCUGACGCCAGUCAGGGCGGAGCCGGAAUGUGAGAUACCA